Molecule: ribosomal RNA, 459 nt
Filed under: uncultured bacterium
Lineage: Bacteria
Description: partial 16S ribosomal RNA
Rfam family: Bacterial small subunit ribosomal RNA
Source: RNAcentral
CCUACGGGAGGCAGCAGUGAGGAAUAUUGGUCAAUGGUCGGGAGACUGAACCAGCCAAGCCGCGUGAGGGAUGAAGGUACAGAGUAUCGUAAACCUCUUUUGUCAGGGAACAAAGGCGGGGACGUGUCCCCGGAUGAGUGUACCUGAAGAAAAAGCAUCGGCUAACUCCGUGCCAGCAGCCGCGGUAAUACGGAGGAUGCGAGCGUUAUCCGGACUUAUUGGGUUAAAAGGGUGCGCAGGCGGUCUGUUAAGUCAGCGGUAAAAGCCCGGGGCUCAACCCCGGCCCGCCGUUGAAACUGGCAGUCUCGAGUUGGAGAGAAGUAUGCGGAAUGCGCGGUGUAGCGGUGAAAUGCAUAGAUAUCGCGCAGAACUCCGAUUGCGAAGGCAGCAUGCCGGCUCCACACUGACGCUGAGGCACGAAAGCGUGGGUAUCGAACAGGAUUAGAUACCCCUGUAGUC